CCUGCCGUAUGCAGGGGGAUAACAGUUAGAAAUGACUGCUAAUACCGCAUAAGCGCACAGUAUCGCAUGAUACAGUGUGAAAAACGAUAGUGGCAUACGAUGGACCCGCGUCUGAUUAGCUAGUUGGCGGGGUAACGGCCCACCAAGGCGACGAUCAGUAGCCGGCCUGAGAGGGUGAACGGCCACAUUGGAACUGAGACACGGUCCAAACUCCUACGGGAGGCAGCAGUGGGGGAUAUUGCACAAUGGGGGAAACCCUGAUGCAGCGACGCCGCGUGAGUGAAGAAGUAUUUCGGUAUGUAAAGCUCUAUCAGCAGGAAAGAUAAUGACGGUACCUGACUAAAAGCACCGGCUAAAUACGUGCCAGCAGCCGCGGUAAUACGUAUGGUGCAAGCGUUAUCCGGAUUUACUGGGUGUAAAGGGAGCGCAGACGGCAUGGCAAGCCAGAUGUGAAAGGUGGGGGCUCAACCCCCAAGCUGCAUUUGGAACUGUCAAGCUAGAGUAUCGGAGAGGUAAGUGGAAUUCCUAGUGUAGCGGUGAAAUGCGUAAAUAUUAGGAGGAACACCAGUGGCGAAGGCGGCUUACUG
Molecule: ribosomal RNA, 587 nt
Filed under: uncultured bacterium
Lineage: Bacteria
Description: bacterial SSU rRNA
Rfam family: Bacterial small subunit ribosomal RNA
Source: RNAcentral